GAUGAACGCUGGCGGCGUGCCUAAUACAUGCAAGUCGAGCGAACGGACGAGAAGCUUGCUUUUCUGAUGUUAGCGGCGGACGGGUGAGUAACACGUGGAUAACCUACCUAUAAGACUGGGAUAACUUCGGGAAACCGGAGCUAAUACCGGAUAAUAUUUUGAACCGCAUGGUUCAAAAGUGAAAGACGGUCUUGCUGUCACUUAUAGAUGGAUCCGCGCUGCAUUAGCUAGUUGGUAAGGUAACGGCUUACCAAGGCAACGAUGCAUAGCCGACCUGAGAGGGUGAUCGGCCACACUGGAACUGAGACACGGUCCAGACUCCUACGGGAGGCAGCAGUAGGGAAUCUUCCGCAAUGGGCGAAAGCCUGACGGAGCAACGCCGCGUGAGUGAUGAAGGUCUUCGGAUCGUAAAACUCUGUUAUUAGGGAAGAACAUAUGUGUAAGUAACUGUGCACAUCUUGACGGUACCUAAUCAGAGAGCCACGGCUAACUACGUGCCAGCAGCCGCGGUAAUACGUAGGUGGCAAGCGUUAUCCGGAAUUAUUGGGCGUAAAGCGCGCGUAGGCGGUUUUUUAAGUCUGAUGUGAAAGCCCACGGCUCAACCGUGGAGGGUCAUUGGAAACUGGAAAACUUGAGUGCAGAAGAGGAAAGUGGAAUUCCAUGUGUAGCGGUGAAAUGCGCAGAGAUGUGGAGGAACACCAGUGGCGAAGGCGACUUUCUGGUCUGUAACUGACGCUGAUGUGCGAAAGCGUGGGGAUCAAACAGGAUUAGAUACCCUGGUAGUCCACGCCGUAAACGAUGAGUGCUAAGUGUUAGGGGGUUUCCGCCCCUUAGUGCUGCAGCUAACGCAUUAAGCACUCCGCCUGGGGAGUACGACCGCAAGGUUGAAACUCAAAGGAAUUGACGGGGGCCCGCACAAGCGGUGGAGCAUGUGGUUUAAUUCGAAGCAACGCGAAGAACCUUACCAAAUCUUGACAUCCUUUGACAACUCUAGAGAUAGAGCCUUCCCCUUCGGGGGACAAAGUGACAGGUGGUGCAUGGUUGUCGUCAGCUCGUGUCGUGAGAUGUUGGGUUAAGUCCCGCAACGAGCGCAACCCUUAAGCUUAGUUGCCAUCAUUAAGUUGGGCACUCUAAGUUGACUGCCGGUGACAAACCGGAGGAAGGUGGGGAUGACGUCAAAUCAUCAUGCCCCUUAUGAUUUGGGCUACACACGUGCUACAAUGGACAAUACAAAGGGCAGCGAAACCGCGAGGUCAAGCAAAUCCCAUAAAGUUGUUCUCAGUUCGGAUUGUAGUCUGCAACUCGACUACAUGAAGCUGGAAUCGCUAGUAAUCGUAGAUCAGCAUGCUACGGUGAAUACGUUCCCGGGUCU
This 1372-nucleotide ribosomal RNA is filed under the name uncultured bacterium. RNAcentral describes it as "bacterial SSU rRNA". It matches the Rfam family "Bacterial small subunit ribosomal RNA", at positions 28 to 1381 of the family's 1533-position model. The record is from RNAcentral.